UGGUGCUGGAGAGUUGUAGCAGCAGCUUUGCGCCCUCUCUUUCUCUUGCUCUCUCUCCUCGUUUCUCUUUCUCUCUCUUUCCUCUCUCUCUCUCUCUCUUUCUCACACUAUCUUUUCUUUCUCUCUCUCUUUUUCUCUCUUCCCCUUCACUCCCUUUUUUCCUUCCUUCCUUCCUUCCUUCCUUCCUUCCUUCCUUCCUUCCUUCCUUCCUUCCUUCCUUUCUUUCUUUCUUUCUUUCUUUCUUUCUUUCUUUCUUUCUUUCUUUCUUUCUUUCUUUCUUUCUUUCUUUCUUUCUUUCUCUCUUUCUCUCUUUCUUUCUUUCCUUCCUUCUUUCUUUCUUUCUUUCUUUCUUUCUUUCUUUCUUUCUUUCUUUCUUUCUUUCUUUCUUUCUUUCUUUCUUUCUUUCCUUCCUUCUUUCUUCUCACCCUCUCUUCCUUCCUUCCUUCCUUCCUUCCUUCCUUCCUUCCUUCCUUCCUUCCUUCCUUCCUUCCUUCCUUCCUUCCUUCCUUCCUUCCUUCCUUCCCAAGUAAUUCACAAAGUUAUAGGGACACAUAUUUAAAGCAUUCUUUUAUUUACCCACAAUUCAUUUAUAAUAUUUUAUUUAUUAUUUUAAUUUUAUGCUGCAUUUGUAUAUGCACUCAUAUACAUAUCCAGAUACACAUAUGUUUUGGGAUGACUUGGUUAUUCCUUUGACACAAUUAAUACUAUUUUCUCUUUUCCAAGUUUGCUUAAAAAUAGAAGCCACUCACUGAAACUUCACUUUGCUAUCAUUGUCUUUUUUAAAAAAGUUAAAAACAAACAGAAAAUAAGAGCUCCCAGAGAAGCAACAAGUUAAAUUGAGGAGAAUGAUAUUCUGUGCAGACUGCUUUGAAAUACUGUAAUUAUUUGGGGAUAGACCCAUCUAGUCAUGUAUGAAUUAAAAGGCAAAGUACUGGAUAAAGCCACAGAUUUUAAAUUAUUGGAGAUUGGCAAAUCAUCUUUGCCAAGUGGUGGUGGUGAUGGGAAGAAGGGGAGGGAAGACCGUAGCCAAUGUAGUACCUGCCCCCAAUGCAAAGUGGGUAUUUAUUCAUUUGCUUCUAUUUGAGAAUGAUAAGGUGCCGAGACACUAUUGCAACAGUGAACAGCAAUUGCCUGAUUAGCAUUUACAAAUUAAAACGUUAAGCAUACUCAUGAUCCAGACAGGGUGCUCUAUGCAUGGGGAGCAGGGAGGCUUUUAAAAUGGGAGCAUUUCUGUGAAAAUGCAGCCUUGUCAAUCUGGAGGUUUAUAUAGGAUGGGCCCAUGUGUUCAAUGUUUCUGAAGUUUUCAAAUGGAGAAACCCAUAGGUCUUGGGCCCCAAUUGAUAGAGCUGAACUAUGUGAUAUUCCAGAAAGUUCUCAGGUAUCUUGGACCAAUUUAUAGUUUCAGUUAUAAAUGCAAAGAUAUGAUUAUCUUGCAAAAAGAAUAAUGUUUUCAAUCUAAAUAGUGUGAGGGCUCCUUUUAAACUAAUAAGCUAUUUUAGGACCUGGAAUUUGGGUAUGAACAUUAGACAUUAAACUGCCCUGGAAGAUAAAAGUGUGCUUUAGAAAAUAAAUUAUCAUCAUCAUUACCA
RNAcentral lists this long non-coding RNA (1589 nucleotides) under Monodelphis domestica (gray short-tailed opossum). Its description in RNAcentral is "lncRNA (ENSMODG00000039516.1)". Lineage: Eukaryota; Metazoa; Chordata; Mammalia; Didelphimorphia; Didelphidae. The record is from RNAcentral.